GACGAACGCUGGCGGCGUGCUUAACACAUGCAAGUCGAGCGGUAAGGCCCUUUCGGGGUACGACGAGCGGCGAACGGGUAGGAGUAACACGUGGGUGGACCUCGCCCUCCAGCUCUGGGAGUAAGCCUGGGAAACGUAGGGUCGUAAUACCGGAUAUGACUCCAUGACGCAUGUUGUGGGGUGGAAAGCCUUGUGCGGCUGAGGAUGGGCCCGCGGCCUAUCAGCUUGUUGGUGGGGUGAGGCCUACCAAGGCGACGACGGGUAGCCGGCCUGAGAGGGCGACCGGCCACACUGGGACUGAGACACGGCCCAGACUCCUACGGGAGGCAGCAGUGGGGAAUCUUGCGCAAUGGGCGAAAGCCUGACGCAGCGACGCCGCGUGAGGGAUGACAGCCUUC
RNAcentral lists this ribosomal RNA (398 nucleotides) under uncultured bacterium. Its description in RNAcentral is "bacterial SSU rRNA". It matches the Rfam family "Bacterial small subunit ribosomal RNA", at positions 28 to 419 of the family's 1533-position model. The record is from RNAcentral.